AGUGAACGCUGGCGGUAGGCCUAACACAUGCAAGUCGAACGGCAGCACAGUAAGAGCUUGCUCUUACGGGUGGCGAGUGGCGGACGGGUGAGGAAUACAUCGGAAUCUACUUUUUCGUGGGGGAUAACGUAGGGAAACUUACGCUAAUACCGCAUACGACCUACGGGUGAAAGCAGGGGAUCUUCGGACCUUGCGCGAUUGAAUGAGCCGAUGUCGGAUUAGCUAGUUGGCGGGGUAAAGGCCCACCAAGGCGACGAUCCGUAGCUGGUCUGAGAGGAUGAUCAGCCACACUGGAACUGAGACACGGUCCAGACUCCUACGGGAGGCAGCAGUGGGGAAUAUUGGACAAAGGGCGCAAGCCUGGUCCAGCCAUACCGCGUGGGUGAAGAAGGCCUUCGGGUUGUAAAGCCCUUUUGUUGGGAAAGAAAAGCAGCAGGUUAAUACCCCGCUGUCCUGACGGUACCCAAAGAAUAAGCACCGGCUAACUUCGUG
RNAcentral lists this ribosomal RNA (492 nucleotides) under uncultured bacterium. RNAcentral's name for it is "partial 16S ribosomal RNA". It matches the Rfam family "Bacterial small subunit ribosomal RNA", at positions 29 to 507 of the family's 1533-position model. The record is from RNAcentral.